Molecule: ribosomal RNA, 113 nt
Filed under: Nitrosomonas communis
Lineage: Bacteria; Pseudomonadati; Pseudomonadota; Betaproteobacteria; Nitrosomonadales; Nitrosomonadaceae
Source: RNAcentral
CUUGGCGGCUAUAGCGCUUUGGAACCACCUCUUCCCAUUCCGAACAGAACCGUGAAACGAAGUUGCGCCGAUGAUAGUGUGUUUUCACAUGUGAAAGUAGGUCACCGCCAAGC